GGGCGGUUAGCUCAGUUGGUAGAGCGCUUCGUUUACACCGAAGAUGCCGGGGGUUCGAGUCCCUCACCGCCCA
RNAcentral lists this transfer RNA (73 nucleotides) under Thioclava dalianensis. Its description in RNAcentral is "tRNA_Val_TAC". It matches the Rfam family "tRNA". From Rfam's summary of the family: Transfer RNA (tRNA) molecules are approximately 80 nucleotides in length. Lineage: Bacteria; Pseudomonadati; Pseudomonadota; Alphaproteobacteria; Rhodobacterales; Paracoccaceae. RNAcentral also lists the same sequence under 2 other names. The record is from RNAcentral.